Molecule: non-coding RNA, 642 nt
Organism: Ictidomys tridecemlineatus (thirteen-lined ground squirrel)
Lineage: Eukaryota; Metazoa; Chordata; Mammalia; Rodentia; Sciuridae
Source: RefSeq, a predicted model, not a curated record
AAGAUGACCAAGAUUCAUCAAUAGAUGUGUCCUGUCUUCUGAAAACCUUCGCAGCACUCAUCCUGCAGGAGCCGAGGAAGGGCCUGGAUCCUGUCCUACAGAGGGGAACACCUCCUAUGGCCAUAAAUUUUUAUAUUCCUACCCAUAUCUGGUCAGUUGUCAGAAGGUGCCAGAGCUGCUAUGUAAAAGAACCCUCUGCUCCAUCAUUGAAAUGUGGCUGUACGUCUAUCCAGAAUAUUUUUGAGGACCCAAGACUUGGACAACCUGAAAUACCUUAGGGCCUUCCUGUUGAUCAUUAUGCCUGAAUCAGAGGGGACCUUCCAUGUCCUUCCCCAGCUGUAGAACACAGAUCCUCUCUAGCACCACCCCAAGUGAUGUAAUUGCCUCCAACAGCCAUGGCCUAAUUUACCUGCUUACAUUUUGGGGAGCAUAUUAUCACAUUCCCUGUGAAGGAGGAGGAAUAGCCCUGAAAACCUAAGUUGGCCCUACACCAGCAAUGACCACACAGGACCAUGAGUGGCCACUGUAAACCUUCAGGAAGAGGAGACAGCUUAGCUGCCACUAAGCAAAUCAUGGCUCACAAUCCUCUUAUUCUCCAUGACACACUAUUGAAGUUAGAACCAUUAAUAAAUCAGUAAUGGU